Molecule: ribosomal RNA, 429 nt
Filed under: Bacteroidota bacterium
Lineage: Bacteria; Pseudomonadati; Bacteroidota
Description: Bacteroidetes bacterium partial 16S ribosomal RNA
Rfam family: Bacterial small subunit ribosomal RNA
Source: RNAcentral
UAGGGAAUCUUCCGCAAUGGGCGAAAGCCUGACGGAGCAACGCCGCGUGAGUGAUGAAGGUCUUCGGAUCGUAAAACUCUGUUAUUAGGGAAGAACAAAUGUGUAAGUAACUAUGCACGUCUUGACGGUACCUAAUCAGAAAGCCACGGCUAACUACGUGCCAGCAGCCGCGGUAAUACGUAGGUGGCAAGCGUUAUCCGGAAUUAUUUGGCGUAAAGCGCGCGUAGGCGGUUUUUUAAGUCUAAUGUGAAAGCCCCCGGCUCAACCGGGGAGGGUCAUUGGAAACUGGUUGACUGGAGUGCAGAAGAGGGGAGGGGAAUUCCAUGUGUAGCGGUGAAAUGCGUGGAUAUAUGGAGAAACACCAGUGGGGAAGGAGACUCUCUGGUCUGUAACUGACGCUGAGGCUCGAAAGCGUGGGUAGCAAACAGG